UUCGUGUAUAGUCAUGUUUCUCUCUCUGCGGACUCUCUCUUUCUCUUUCUCUCUCUCCUGUUCGAGCUCCUCUUCCCGGAAACCCAACGGUGGCAGCGGCGGCGCAGCAGCUUGGCGACAAGGUCUCCAUCGGCAAAGACGGAUCGGCGGUGGGAAAAGCAUGGCGGCAACGGAUCUGACGACGAUGAGACUGACCGCGUCCCUCUCUUCCUCGCGGGUCCUCCUCCCUCUCGGCGACCAUGAUGGCGGCACGGAAAAACGCUAACGGCAGCGACAUUCCUCCAACUUCCUUCAACUCGCAGACUUCCUCUUUCUCUUGGGUUGACGUCGAUGGCGACUUGGCAGCGGCAGAACUUCGGUGGCGAGGCGUGGAGGCAGCAACCCUUUCCGCCGUUCUCUCUUUUUUUUCUGUGUGGGUGUAUUUGUGUAUGGUGUGAGUUUUGAAAAGAAGGAGGGGCUGUGGUUGAUGAGGAAGAGUGGAAGUUGUUUAGUAAUUUAGGGUUAGGAUUGGGUAGGAGGAAUAAGGGUACUGCUGGAAUUUUGAUAAAAUUAAAGGGUAGGAUAGUAA
Arachis ipaensis is the source of this 568-nucleotide non-coding RNA. NCBI's taxonomy places the organism in Eukaryota, Viridiplantae, Streptophyta, Magnoliopsida, Fabales, Fabaceae. The record is from RefSeq and is a predicted model, not a curated record.